This 972-nucleotide ribosomal RNA is filed under the name uncultured bacterium. RNAcentral's name for it is "bacterial SSU rRNA". It matches the Rfam family "Bacterial small subunit ribosomal RNA", at positions 536 to 1505 of the family's 1533-position model. The record is from RNAcentral.
GAGGACGGUUCGGAUUAUUGGGCGUAAGAGCUCGUAGGCGGUUUGUCGCGUCUGCCGUGAAAGUCCGGGGCUCAACUCCGGAUCUGCGGUGGGUACGGGCAGACUAGAGUGAUGUAGGGGAGACUGGAAUUCCUGGUGUAGCGGUGAAAUGCGCAGAUAUCAGGAGGAACACCGAUGGCGAAGGCAGGUCUCUGGGCAUUAACUGACGCUGAGGAACGAAAGCAUGGGGAGCGAACAGGAUUAGAUACCCUGGUAGUCCAUGCCGUAAACGUUGGGCACUAGGUGUGGGGGACAUUCCACGUUUUCCGCGCCGUAGCUAACGCAUUAAGUGCCCCGCCUGGGGAGUACGGCCGCAAGGCUAAAACUCAAAGGAAUUGACGGGGGCCCGCAUAAGCGGCGGAGCAUGCGGAUUAAUUCGAUGCAACGCGAAGAACCUUACCAAGGCUUGACAUGAACCGGUAAGACCUGGAAACAGGUCCCCCACUUGUGGCCGGUUUACAGGUGGUGCAUGGUUGUCGUCAGCUCGUGUCGUGAGAUGUUGGGUUAAGUCCCGCAACGAGCGCAACCCUCGUUCCAUGUUGCCAGCGCGUUAUGGCGGGGACUCAUGGGAGACUGCCGGGGUCAACUCGGAGGAAGGUGGGGACGACGUCAAAUCAUCAUGCCCCUUAUGUCUUGGGCUUCACGCAUGCUACAAUGGCCGGUACAAAGGGUUGCGAUACUGUGAGGUGGAGCUAAUCCCAAAAAGCCGGCCUCAGUUCGGAUUGGUCUGCAACUCGACCCCAUGAAGUCGGAGUCGCUAGUAAUCGCAGAUCAGCAACGCUGCGGUGAAUACGUUCCCGGGCCUUGUACACACCGCCCGUCAAGUCACGAAAGUUGGUAACACCCGAAGCCGGUGGCCUAACCCCUUGUGGGGAGGGAGCUGUCGAAGGUGGGACUGGCGAUUGGGACUAAGUCGUAACAAGGUAACCAGAA